CUACCCUUCAAGCGCGGCUUGAUUAUUGAGCCAAAUUGUCCUUUUUGAUGGACAGGCUUAAAAUGUAGUGGCGAUGCCGAGUCCUAGUGCCCGAGCGUAUGGAGCUCUGUCACACGCUUUAGUGGCCCAGCCGGCAUUUUUGUCGAUUAAAUCUUUAAAAAAAAAUUCUAAG
RNAcentral lists this unclassified non-coding RNA (172 nucleotides) under uncultured Eurotiomycetes. RNAcentral's name for it is "sequence contains ITS2". Lineage: Eukaryota; Fungi; Ascomycota; Eurotiomycetes. The record is from RNAcentral.